Molecule: ribosomal RNA, 253 nt
Filed under: uncultured bacterium
Lineage: Bacteria
Description: partial 16S ribosomal RNA
Rfam family: Bacterial small subunit ribosomal RNA
Source: RNAcentral
GACGGGGGGUCCUAGCGUUGUUCGGAAUUAUUGGGCGUAAAGCGUGUGCAGGUUGUUUGAAAAGUUGGAUGUGAAAUCCCCGGGCUUAACCUGGGAACUGCAUUUGUGACUGCAUGACUAGAGUACGGUAGAGGGGGAUGGAAUUCCGCGUGUAGCAGUGAAAUGCGUAGAUAUGCGGAGGAACACCGAUGGCGAAGGCAAUCCCCUGGACCUGUACUGACGCUCAUGCACGAAAGCGUGGGGAGCAAACAGG